GAUGAAGAACGUAGCGAAAUGCGAUAAGUAGAGUGAAUUGCAGAAUUCAGUGAAUCAUCGAAUCUUUGAACGCACAUUGCGCCCUUUGGUAUUCCUUAGGGCAUGCCUGUUCGAGCGUCAUUUAAACCUUCAAGCUAAGCUUGGUGUUGGGUGACUGUCCGCUUCACGGCGGACUCGCCUCAAAAUUAUUGGCGGCCGGUACAUUGGCUUCGAGCGCAGCAGAAACGCGAACUCGGGCCCGUCGUAUUGGCUCCCAGAAGCUAUCUUCACAAUUUUGACCUCGGAUCAGGUAGGGAUACCCGCUGAACUUAAGCAUAUCAAUAAGCGGAGGA
This 332-nucleotide unclassified non-coding RNA is filed under the name soil metagenome. RNAcentral describes it as "partial contains 5.8S ribosomal RNA, internal transcribed spacer 2, and large subunit ribosomal RNA". The stretch from base 1 to 120 matches the Rfam family "5.8S ribosomal RNA", at positions 35 to 154 of the family's 154-position model. The record is from RNAcentral.